This 353-nucleotide ribosomal RNA is filed under the name uncultured bacterium. RNAcentral describes it as "partial 16S ribosomal RNA". It matches the Rfam family "Bacterial small subunit ribosomal RNA", at positions 338 to 706 of the family's 1533-position model. The record is from RNAcentral.
CCUACGGGAGGCAGCAGUAGGGAAUUUUGGGCAAUGGGCGCAAGCCUGACGCAGCAACGCCGCGUGAACGAAGCACUCAUUCAGCUCGUAAGCCUCUUUCUGGUUGAAAGAAAAGAAGACGGUACCUCUUGAAUAAGCCACGGCUAACUACGGGCCAGCAGCCGCGGUACUACGUAGGUGGCAAGCGUUGUCCGGAUUUACUGGGUGUAAAGGGCGUGCAGCCGGGCUGACCAGUCAGAUGUGAAAUCCCGAGGCUCAACCGCGGAACUGCAUCUGAAACUGUCAGUCUUGAGUCCCGGAGAGGUCAGCGGAAUGUCGUGUGUAGCGGUGAAAGGCGUAGAUAUAAGGAAGAA